UACCAGCACCCCGAGUGGUCGGGACGCUUAUUGGGCCUAAAGCAUCCGUAGCCGGUUCUACAAGUCUUCCGUUAAAUCCAACUGCUUAACAGGUGGGCUGCGGAAGAUACUAUAGAGCUAGGAGGCGGGAGAGGCAAGCGGUACUCGAUGGGUAGGGGUAAAAUCCGUUGAUCCAUUGAAGACCACCAGUGGCGAAGGCGGCUUGCCAGAACGCGCUCGACGGUGAGGGAUGAAAGCUGGGGGAGCAAACCGG
This 253-nucleotide ribosomal RNA is filed under the name uncultured bacterium. RNAcentral describes it as "partial 16S ribosomal RNA". It matches the Rfam family "Archaeal small subunit ribosomal RNA", at positions 474 to 727 of the family's 1478-position model. The record is from RNAcentral.